GACGAACGCUGGCGGCGUGCCUAAUACAUGCAAGUCGAACGCAGUGGGGACGGGUGAGUAACACGUGGGUAACCUCCCAUCAGAGGGGAUAACACUUGGAAACAGGUGCUAAACCGAUACUGAUGGAUGGACCCGCGGUGCAUUAGCUAGUUGGUGGGGUAACGGCUCAUCAAGGCCACGAUGCAUAGCCGGCCUGAGAGGUUGAUCUGCCCCACGGGAACGUGGACACGGCCCGGACUCCUACGGGAGGCAGCAGUGGGGAAUCUUCGGCAAUGGACGAAAGUCUGACCGAGCAACGCCGCGUGCGUGAAGAAGGUUUUCGGUUCGUAAAACUCUGUUGUUAGAGAAGCGGUAUCUAACCAGAAAGCCACGGCUAACUACGUGCCAGCAGCCGCGGUAAUAC
RNAcentral lists this ribosomal RNA (403 nucleotides) under uncultured bacterium. RNAcentral's name for it is "partial 16S ribosomal RNA". It matches the Rfam family "Bacterial small subunit ribosomal RNA", at positions 28 to 526 of the family's 1533-position model. The record is from RNAcentral.